RNAcentral lists this long non-coding RNA (1018 nucleotides) under Pan troglodytes (chimpanzee). Its description in RNAcentral is "long non-coding RNA NONPTRT005337". The record is from RNAcentral. Lineage: Eukaryota; Metazoa; Chordata; Mammalia; Primates; Hominidae.
ACGUCCUCUGUCUCACCAACAGACACAGACAUAUACACUUCUAGGCCAGGAAAGCGCUAACCAGGGCCCUGUGACUCUACGCAGGUUCCAGAACACGCCUUCUACAUUUGUUACUGAACCGAUCAGCGAACACAGACAAACGUGCCAACACUUAAGUCUACUGGCUGGACUUCAUCUCCAUGGCAACAAGCAUGGAAGGCGAAGAGUUGAUUCCAGAAGGAACUGUGAAGAGCCACAACAAUGUGCCAGUGAAUAAUGAGUAGUACCUACUGUGGCAACUCUUCAGCUAAGAUGAGUGUCAACGAAGUAUCAGCUUUCUCAUUGACUCUGGAGCAAAAAACUGGCUUUGCUUUUGUUGGGAUUUUGUGUAUCUUCUUGGGACUUCUUAUUAUCCGAUGCUUCAAAAUCCUGCUAGACCCAUAUAGUAGCAUGCCUUCCUCUACAUGGGAAGAUGAAGUUGAAGAGUUUGAUAAAGGGACAUUUGAAUAUGCACUCGCGUGAGAGUUCCAGCUAUAUGGUUUUUAUGGUUGUGCCAUCGGGACACAUUCUGGAUACAAUUGUAACUACCUUGAGGGUGUGGGAGAGAGGCUCAUUUUGUUCAGUGAAUUCAAUAAACAUCUGUGACUAAUUUCUUCACCAUGCUGUGUAAAUGAUAAACUAUUGUUGGGAUUCCUCACUUUCCUCUGUUCCCACUUAGAGGUUUCCAAUGAAUAGAGCAUAAGGAUGGCUGCAGCCAUGUUUACCAUCUUUAUUCUUAUCUUGAACAACUGCCUUGAAUUUCUGCUUCCUUUCUUGAGCUAAUAAACUGUGCUAAAGGCAUCUUGCUCUCUCCCCUCUGCAAAGCCCAGGCAUCCCCUCCACAUUCCUGACUCAGACCCCUUUAGCUUUAGUGAGUCAGGUCUUAAACAGAGAAUUUAGUCCAAAGAAUAAUCAAAAUAUUAUUUGUCUAAUAAUAACCAUAGGCCCAAAAGUUUCACAGGUGAAAAAAUAUCUCAAAAAUCUAACACCCAAAGCCUAC